This 1410-nucleotide long non-coding RNA is filed under the name Zostera marina. RNAcentral describes it as "long non-coding RNA (ZMAR_LNC002814)". The record is from RNAcentral. Lineage: Eukaryota; Viridiplantae; Streptophyta; Magnoliopsida; Alismatales; Zosteraceae.
AAGCAGUGGAUACAUCAUCCUCAGAAGGAAUUACAAGAUCAACGUCUUCUUGAAAACCAAUGGCACCCAAACUCUCAGGGAGACUGGAUAUUUUCUGAGGUAAGGACGCAAUAGUUCUAAAACCAGGUGUCUCGAGAUCAUUUGACUGAGCUUUAGCAUCAAGAGGUGACAUUAAAACCAGUUCUAUACUAUUUUCAUUCAUAGCAGAUUCUUCGGCGACAGGUAUCACUUGCUCUUUUUUAAGAGGAAAUUCAGAAGUAGGUGUUUCUAAUUGCCUGCAAAUCUCUUUAUUGACCAUUUCUGAAACAGCAAGAGCAUUUUUAGUUUCAAGAGAAGAAACAGUUAUUGCGUCGGAUUUGUUUUUCAUGGGAAUAUCAGAAUCUCCAUUUUCAUCUGCCAAUGAUUUUUCAACAAUAUCAGCUGCAACAAGAAUAUUUUUAACCUCGACAUUAUCGCUGUGUUUUCCUUUCUUUUUCUUCUUACGACGUUUACUUCUGUCAUUAUUGGCUAAAGGAGCAGUGGAUACAUCAUCCUCAGAAGGAAUUACAAGAUCAACGUCUUCUUGAAAAUCAAUGGUACCCAAACUCUCAGGGAGACUGGAUAUUUUCUGAGGUAAGGACGCAAUAGUUCUAAAACCAGGUGUCUCGAGAUCAUUUGACUGAGCUUUAGCAUCAAGAGGUGACGUCAAAACCAGUUCUAUACUAUUUUCAUUCAUAGCAGAUUCUUCGGCGACAGGUAUCACUUGCUCUUUUUCAAGAGGAAAUUCAGAAGUAGGUGUUUCUAAUAGCCUGCAAAUCUCUUUAUUGACCUUUUCUGAAACAGCAAGAGCAUUUUUAGUUUCAAGAGAAAAAACAGUUAUUGUGUCGGAUUUGUUUUUCAUGGGAAUAUCAGAAUCUCCAUUUUCAUCUGCCAAUGAUUUUUCAACAUUAUCAGCUGCAACAAGAAUAUUUUUAACCUCGACAUUAUCGCUGUGUUUUCCUUUCUUUUUCUUCUUACGACGUUUACUUCUGUCAUUAUUGACUAAAGGAGCGGUGGAUACAUCAUCCUCAGAAGGAAUUACAAGAUCAACGUCUUCUUGAAAACCAAUGGUACCCAAACUCUCAGGGAGACUGGAUAUUUUCUGAGGUAAGGACGCAAUAGUUCUAAAACCAGGUGUCUCGAGAUCAUUUGACUGAGCUUUAGCAUCAAGAGGUGACGUCAAAACCAGUUUUAUACUAUUUUCAUUCAUAGCAGAUUCUUCGGCGACAGGUAUCACUUGCUCUUUCUCAAGAGGAAAUUCAGAAGUAGGUGUUUCUAAUUGCCUGCAAAUCUCUUUAUUGACCUUUUCUGAAAUAGCAAGAGCAUUUUUAGUUUCAAGAGAAGAAACAGUUAUUGUGUCGGAUUUGUUUUUAAUGGGAAUAUCAGAAUCUC